UCCUACGGGAGGCAGCAGUGGGGAAUCUUAGACAAUGGGGGCAACCCUGAUCUAGCCAUGCCGCGUGAGUGAUGAAGGCCUUAGGGUCGUAAAGCUCUUUCGCCUGUGAUGAUAAUGACAGUAGCAGGUAAGGAAACCCCGGCUAACUCCGUGCCAGCAGCCGCGGUAAUACGGAGGGGGUUAGCGUUGUUCGGAAUUACUGGGCGUAAAGCGCGCGUAGGCGGAUUAGAAAGUCGGGUGUGAAAACUCUGGGCUCAACCCAGAGACGCCACCCGAUACUGCUGUGACUAGAGUGCGGUAGGGGAGCGGGGAAUUCCUAGUGUAGCGGUGAAAUGCGCAGAUAUUGGGUGGAACACCAGUGGCGAAGGCGGCCAUCUGGUCCGGAUCUGACGCCGAGGCGCGAAAGCGUGGGGAGCAAACAGGAUUAGAUACCCUGGUAGUCCACGCCGUAAACGAUGUGCGCUAGACGUCGGGAGUUAGGCUCUCGGUGUCGCAGCUAACGCAUUAAGCGCACCGCCUGGGGAGUACGGCCGCAAGGUUAAAACUCA
This 548-nucleotide ribosomal RNA is filed under the name uncultured bacterium. Its description in RNAcentral is "bacterial SSU rRNA". It matches the Rfam family "Bacterial small subunit ribosomal RNA", at positions 337 to 903 of the family's 1533-position model. The record is from RNAcentral.